UACAACCGUCAUGCUAUGUGGAUCUCGGCGGCGGCGGCGGCUCCUCCCUCUACCCGCCUGCCGCGCUACCACCUCAUCUCGCGCUCCUGACAUGCCGAGGGGGCGAGAGGAGUAAGAGAGCAGGGACGAGUGCGCAGAGAAGAAAGAUGCUUGCCGCGAAGCUGCCAAGCGGGAAAACAGAUGAGGAGCGACACUUGCGGAGGCGGCCGAGAUCGGGUACUACAUCUUAGAUCUUCACCGUCGUCUAGGUCAGGCCUCCCUCAGAUGCCCUGAUCCUCCAUCAUCAGAUGAAAAGAUCCAGUUCUUUGGCGACAUGCAAAGCUGCCGGUGGUUGUUUGAUCAAUUGUGUGAGGUAUCUCACAUGGCACCUGAAUGCGUAUUAAUGGUGUCAAUCUGUAUCUACAUGUCGUGUGGUUCAAAAGCCAAAAAGGAGCAGCAGGAUGGCCGGUCCAAGCUUGAGCAGAUUCUGUGUUGGGGUUCGAUGCUGAAAUUCAUUAGAUUUCAGUUCUGUAUAGUUUCAGGUUGGUUGCCAAUGAAAUAGACUGUCCAAGGCGCCUGAAGAAAAUGUAAUCCAAUGGUAACACAAUUAAUUAUUUGAAGUUGAUUAAAAAAUACAGAGAGGGUGGCUCUGCUUCGUCUUCUUUGAUUACGAGCUCCUAGCAUGUUUAUUUAUUUAUUUCCCUCCAGUCGAAAUUGCGCCAUUGCUGGCCCUUCCCUUCCGAUCCAACGGAGCACUUGCUGCCUCGUGUAAACGCCAUUUAAAUUUGUGCUUGCAAGUGACUGAAUCCCGCCGAGUAUUAUUAGGCGGAGGAAGGGACAGAAACAGGGCACGCCACUCUGCAUUUUUGGUCUCGCCAAAACGACUUCAGUAUCAGCCAGGGGGCUGUGCAUCACUGGGAAUUUUCCAUUUGGAAGGUCCAAUUCCUGACCAUGAUGCUAUAUGAACCGCAACCUGGAACAGUGAAUCCUGAUAGCGAAUGUGCCCGCGGCGCAAGAGAGGAGGGGGCAUCAGCUUGAGUACAGCCAAGUGGCGGGACAGACAGGCGCGAUGGCAAUGGCAAUGGAAUUGGCCGACAAAUUGCUACUGGUGCUCCAGAGCUACUCGCUGCCAGUUUGGGCCAUAAUAAUCUCGGGGCUCUUCGUCGCCGUAUCACUCUCGCUGUCCAUCUACUUGCUCUUGAACCACCUCUCGGCCUACAAGAACCCAGAGGAGCAGAAGUUCCUCGUCGGCGUCGUUCUGAUGGUGUCGAUAUACGCAAUCGAGUCGGUAAGGUGGCUAUGCCAUGUCUUGUUCAAGUGCGCGGUCACAAUGUUGUUGGCUGGGAGAGGUCGAUCCAGCCGUUAACUCUUGGCGUGGACCAGUAGGUUCAAUUUCAGCUUUUAUGUAAUCUUUGUGUUGAUUUCUUUUGAAUUGCAAAAUCAUUUGCUGAUACUUUUCUCCCCUUUCAGUCAUAAAAUGUAAGGUGACCUUCCACAUUUAGUCCGAUAUUUUGUUCA
This is a non-coding RNA of Triticum urartu, 1497 nucleotides long. The record is from RefSeq and is a predicted model, not a curated record. NCBI's taxonomy places the organism in Eukaryota, Viridiplantae, Streptophyta, Magnoliopsida, Poales, Poaceae.